This 254-nucleotide ribosomal RNA is filed under the name uncultured bacterium. RNAcentral describes it as "partial 16S ribosomal RNA". It matches the Rfam family "Bacterial small subunit ribosomal RNA", at positions 524 to 776 of the family's 1533-position model. The record is from RNAcentral.
UACGGAGGGUGCGAGCGUUGUCCGGAAUCAUUGGGCGUAAAGGGCGCGUAGGUGGCCCGGUCAGUCUUUGGUGAAAGCGCGGGGCUCAACCCUGCGUCGGCCAGGGAUACUGCCGCGGCUCGAGCACUGUAGAGGCAGGCGGAAUUCCGGGUGUAGCGGUGAAAUGCGUAGAUAUCUGGAGGAACACCGGUGGCGAAGGCGGCAUCCUGGACCGGCAUUGACGCUGAGGCGCGAAAGCCAGGGGAGCAAACGGG